ACCACUUUCCUCUUCGCCGCUGGAAUAUUUUAACAAAAUGUCUUUCUCUGGAUUUGUUCGCGACCUUUCUCUCUGCGCUUCUCACAGUUCUCAGAGGAGUGGGAGAGGCGGCGGCGACACCAAAUGCAACCCGAGCUCCCAGAUCCGGCUACUGGCACUAACCCUAGCAGCAUUCCCCCCUCAAUGCCUCCUAGGGCUCCCAGAUCUAUGCUUCUCACAGUUCUCUUGGUCAGAAUCACUAAGUUUAUGAAAUCAACUCUACGUGGUGGAGCAAUACUUGUGCUUGUUUGUGUUAUAUCUUCCUGCAAUUUUGUGUGAAGUGCUUGGUAUCCCCAAGUCGAUAUCUUUGAAAUCCUUUAGUAUUAUCCUUCUGUUAGGUCAAACCACCAAAGUGCAAAGGAGCAGAGAUGGGUUUGUAACGAGCUUGGCCUGGUAACAAUCCAUUUUAGACAACAAGACUGCUUCCUAGAUUCCUAAUUCUGCCAGCUAUAGGUUUCUUAUCUGGGCUCAAAAGCAAUGGCUUCCAGCAAAGAUGAUGUUGAUCAACCUACUGAUUCCUAUUCUCUACAAGUGUUUUCUUCCCAGUUUUCUAUGAUUUGAGGGUUUUGAUUUCUUUUUUUUUGGUGCGUGUGCGUGUGCUAAACAAUAUUUCUACAGACUUAAGAAUCCUUACAAGGAUCCUGAUGAUGGUCGCCAGCGGUUUCUUCUUGAGUUGGAGUUUGUUCAAUGCCUUGCCAAUCCAACUUAUAUC
RNA transcript from Zingiber officinale, 751 nucleotides. RefSeq lists it as uncharacterized. Lineage: Eukaryota; Viridiplantae; Streptophyta; Magnoliopsida; Zingiberales; Zingiberaceae. The transcript is spliced from 2 exons. The record is from RefSeq and is a predicted model, not a curated record.